Molecule: non-coding RNA, 906 nt
Organism: Labrus bergylta (ballan wrasse)
Lineage: Eukaryota; Metazoa; Chordata; Actinopteri; Labriformes; Labridae
Source: RefSeq, a predicted model, not a curated record
ACUCCAGUCGUGCUUUGUCUAUGGAUAUGUCCUGGACCUUGUCCUUGUGUUUUACCUGUUGUUUUUUUCUGUUGGAAUUUUUGCUGGGCAUUUAUGGAUUGUUGGACACCUGAACAAGUAAGGUGGAUGUCUUGAACUUGUGUUGACUGUGUAUGAGUCUGACUGACUGUGAGGAGCUGUGUGCUGAUGCUGUUCCUGUCUGCCAGAGUGGUCGGAUCAGCCCUGAAUGAAUCUUCCACAGCAGAGAACAAAAACACACUUAAGCAUGCACUGUGGUACCGAUGUACACAUGGUCUGUUGUUGUUGUGUUAAGGGUCAUUCUUACUGUGUUGUGGUGUGGACACAGUGAGAGGCUUCAGGAGUGGGUGUGAUGCAAAUGGUCUGUUACUAAGCAGGAAGACAUCCUUUAUGAAUUAGGGGUCUAAGGGAGUGUGUGAGAAACAGAGAGAGAGAGAAUAGAUGUUUUUCACCCCUGCUUCAGUAUCAGUGUCCCAUCUUCCCACACUGAGGCUGUCGAGCUGUUUUAAUGAUGCCUGUCUUUCUUCACUGCUUGUGGUGGUGGUCACACAGGGAAACACACUGAGUGGUGGUCUCCCCAGAAAGAUUCCAUUAACAUUCUGGUGAGAUAGCAUCUCGCAACACAACGUCAACGAAGGGAGGCAGACCAGAUUUGUUGAAUGUCCCAUGUACCCCGUGUGUGUUUUAGUGACAAAUUUUCUCUCAGCGCCACUGUGAGACUGAAACAGAAAACAGACUGGAUGACACACUAACUAGAGAUUAUUGUUCCCUAUAGAUUCUGUACAUCUACACACACACAGCUGAAUAAAUUACACGCUAAUCUCACAGCUAGUUUCUUAAAGGUCACAUAUUGUGCAAAAUAAACUUCAGCAUGUUGUUCUAACACUA